UUAAAGUCUAACCUGCCCACUGAAAUUUUUAAAUGGCCGCAGUAUUCUAACUGUGCAAAGGUAGCAUAAUCAUUAGUCUUUUAAUUGAAGGCUGGAAUGAAUGGUUGGACGAAAUAUUAACUGUUUCAUUUUAAUUUUUUAUAGAAUUUUAUUUUUUAGUCAAAAAGCUAAAAUUUUUUUAAAAGACGAGAAGACCCUAUAAAUCUUUAUAUUUUUUUUAUUUUAAUUAUAAAGAUUAUUUUAGUUUUAAUAAAAAAAAAUAUUUUAUUGGGGUGAUAUUAAAAUUUAAAAAACUUUUAAUUUUUAAAAUCAUUAAUUUAUGAUAAAUUGAUCCGUUAUUAACGAUUAAAAAUUUAAGUUACUUUAGGGAUAACAGCGUAAUUUUUUUGGAGAGUUCAUAUCGAUAAAAAAGAUUGCGACCUCGAUGUUGGAUUAAGAUAUAAUUUUGGGUGUAGCCGUUCAAAUUUUAAGUCUGUUCGACUUUUAAAUUCUUACAUGAUCUGAGUUCAAACCGGCGUAAGCCAGGUUGGUUUCUAUCUUUAAUAAAUUAUAAUAUUUUAGUACGAAAGGACCAAAUAUUAAAAUUAUUAAAUUUUAAUAAAGAAUAUUAUUAAUAAUU
This 619-nucleotide ribosomal RNA is filed under the name Drosophila ornatifrons. RNAcentral describes it as "partial 16S ribosomal RNA". It matches the Rfam family "Bacterial large subunit ribosomal RNA", at positions 1895 to 2793 of the family's 2925-position model. Lineage: Eukaryota; Metazoa; Arthropoda; Insecta; Diptera; Drosophilidae. The record is from RNAcentral.